Molecule: ribosomal RNA, 280 nt
Filed under: uncultured bacterium
Lineage: Bacteria
Description: partial 16S ribosomal RNA
Rfam family: Bacterial small subunit ribosomal RNA
Source: RNAcentral
UGCCAGCCGCCGCGGUAAUAUGGAGGAUCCAUGCGUUAUCCGGAAUUAUUGGGUUUAAAGGGUCCGCAGGCGGUUUGUUAAGUCAGAGGUGAAAUCCUACCGCUCAACGGUAGAAUUGCCUUUGAUACUGAUAGACUCGAGUUAUUGUGAAGUAGUUAGAAUGUGUAGUGUAGCGGUGAAAUGCAUAGAUAUUACACAGAAUACCAAUUGCGAAGGCAGAUUACUAACAAUACACUGAACGCUGAGGGACGUAGGCGUGGGCAGCGAACGGCGUUAGAUA